RNAcentral lists this ribosomal RNA (1700 nucleotides) under metagenome. RNAcentral describes it as "SSU rRNA". It matches the Rfam family "Eukaryotic small subunit ribosomal RNA". The record is from RNAcentral.
UCUGGUUGAUCCUGCCAGUAGUCAUAUGCUUGUCUUAAAGAUUAAGCCAUGCAUGUGUCAGUAUAAAUAGUAUACAGUGAAACUGCGAAUGGCUCAUUAAAACAGUUAUAGUUUAUUUGAUAAUUGAAUUUACAUGGAUAACUGUGGCAAUUCUAGAGCUAAUACAUGCUGUUAAACCUUAAGGUUGUAUUUAUUAGAUAUCAAGCCGAUAAUUUUGAUGAUUCAUAAUAACUGAUCGAAUCGAGGGAUUCCUCGAUAAAUCAUUCAAGUUUCUGCCCUAUCAGCUAGAUGGUAGUGUAUUGGACUACCAUGGCAGUCACGGGUAACGUAGAAUUAGGGUUCGGUUCCGGAGAGGGAGCCUGAGAAAUGGCUACCACAUCUAAGGAAGGCAGCAGGCGCGUAAAUUACCCAAUCCCGAUUCGGGGAGGUAGUGACAAGAAAUAACAACUCGGGAACCUAGUUCUACGAGAUUGCAAUGAGAACAAUUUAAACCACUUAGCGAGGAACAAUUGGAGGGCAAGUCUGGUGCCAGCAGCCGCUGUAAUUCCAGCUCCAAUAGCGUAUAUUAAAGUUGUUGCAGUUAAAAAGCUCGUAGUUGAAUUUCUGGCUAUUUAUAUAUUGGCUUACGUCAAUAUAUUGGUAGUCAUCCGUCUUCGAAACCAUUCCGGCCUUUACUGGUCGAUUGGCGGAGAAGGCAUUUUACCUUGAAAAAAUUAGAGUGUUUCAGGCAGGUUUUCGCCCGAAUACAUUAGCAUGGAAUAAUGGAAUAGGAAUGUGUCCAUUUCGUUGGCUAUUGGACAUAUUAAUGAUUAAUAGGGACAGUUGGGGGCAUUAGUAUUUAAUUGUCAGAGGUGAAAUUCUUGGAUUUAUUAAAGACUAACUUAUGCGAAAGCAUUUGCCAAGGAUGUUUUCAUUAAUCAAGAACGAAGUUAGGGGAUCAAAGACGAUCAGAUACCGUCGUAGUCUUAACUAUAAACUAUACCGACUCGGAAUCGGAAGGGUCUCAAAAGCCUUUUCGGCGCCGUAAGAGAAAUCAAAGUCUUUGGGUUCUGGGGGGAGUAUGGUCGCAAGGCUGAAACUUAAAGGAAUUGACGGAAGGGCACCACCAGGAGUGGAGCCUGCGGCUUAAUUUGACCCAACACGGGGAAACUCACCAGGUCAAAACAUGGGUGGGAUUGACAGAUUGAGAGCUCUUUCUUGAUUCUAUGGGUAGUGGUGCAUGGCCGCUUCAAGUUGGUGGAGUGAUUUGUCUGGUUAAUUCCGAUAACGAACGAGACCUUAACCUGCUAACUAGUAUAUUUCUUAACAAGGGGUAUUACUUCUUAGAGAGACUAUGUGAUUCAAGCACAUGGAAGUUUGAGGCAAUAGCAGGUCUGUGAUGCCCUUAGAUGUCCUGGGCCGCACGCGCGCUACAAUGACACAUUCAGCGAGUUUUUCCUGGUCCGGAAGGAUUCGGGUAAUCUUGUUAGUAUGUGUCGCGUUAGGGAUAGAUCUUUGGAAUUAUAGAUCUUGAACGAGGAAUUCCUUGUAAGCACAAGUCAUCAGCUUGUGCUGAAUACGUCCCUGCCCUUUGUACACACCGCCCGUCGCUCCUACCGGUUUCGAGUGAUCCGGUGAACUUUCUGGACUGCAGUAAUUUAUUACAGCAGGAAGUUAAGUAAACCUUAUCACUUAGAGGAAGGAGAAGUCGUAACAAGGUU